Molecule: ribosomal RNA, 938 nt
Filed under: uncultured marine eukaryote
Lineage: Eukaryota
Description: SSU rRNA
Rfam family: Eukaryotic small subunit ribosomal RNA
Source: RNAcentral
GAGCUAGCGCUUCCCCUACAUCCUGCCGCGAACCGUGCUACCAUUAGUUUGGUGGCGCCGGGGAUCGGCUCGUUUACUUUGAGAAAAAUAGAGUGUUCAAAGCAGGCCACACGCCUUGAAUAAGUUAGCAUGGAAUAAUAAUAAAGGACUUCGGUUCUAUUUUGUUGGUGUUCGGGACUGAAGUAAUGAUUGAUAGGGACAGUUGGGGCGGUCAGUAUUCCAAAGCGAGAGGUGAAAUUCUUAGACCUUCGGAAGACUAACAGCUGCGAAAGCGUUCCGCAAGGAUGUUCCCUUUGAUCAAGAACGAAAGUUGGGGGAUCGAAGACGAUCAGAUACCGUCGUAGUCUCAACUAUAAACUAUACCAGCUAGGGAUCGGCCAACGUUAAAUUAUCCGACUUGGUCGGCACCUUAUGAGAAAUCAAAGCAUCUGGGUUCCGGGGGGAGUAUGGUCGCAAGGCUGAAACUUAAAGGAAUUGACGGAAGGGCACCACCAGCCGUGGAGCCUGUGGCUUAAUUUGACUCAACACGGGAAAACUUACCAGGUCCAGACAUAGUAAGGAUUGACAGAUUGAUAGCUCUUUCUUGAUUCUGUGGGUGGUGGUGCAUGGCCGUUCUUAGUUGGUGGAGUGAUUUGUCUGGUUAAUUCCGUUAACGAACGAGACCCCAGCCUGCUAAAUAGCGCGGUUGAGCUUUGCUCGGCGCGAGCUUCUUAGAGGGACUAUGAUGCGCGAUAGCACAUGGAAGUUUGGGGCAAUAACAGGUCUGUGAUGCCCUUAGAUGUUCUGGGCCGCACACGGGCUACACUGGCGCCUGCAACGAGCAUAUCAGCUGGCCCGAGAGGGUCUUGGCUAAUCUUUUGAACCGGCGCCGUGCUUGGGAUUGACCAUUGCAAUUGUUGGUCAUGCAACGAGGAAUGCCUUGUAAACGCGAGUCAUCA